UAGGGAAUCUUCGGCAAUGGGGGCAACCCUGACCGAGCAACGCCGCGUGAGUGAAGAAGGUUUUCGGAUCGUAAAGCUCUGUUGUAAGAGAAGAACGUGUGUGAGAGUGGAAAGUUCACACAGUGACGGUAACUUACCAGAAAGGGACGGCUAACUACGUGCCAGCAGCCGCGGUAAUACGUAGGUCCCGAGCGUUGUCCGGAUUUAUUGGGCGUAAAGCGAGCGCAGGCGGUUUAAUAAGUCUGAAGUUAAAGGCAGUGGCUUAACCAUUGUUCGCUUUGGAAACUGUUAAACUUGAGUGCAGAAGGGGAGAAUGGAAUUCCAUGUGUAGCGGUGAAAUGCGUAGAUAUAUGGAGGGACACCGGUGGCGAAAGCGGCUCUCUGGUCUGUAACUGACGCUGAGGCUCGAAAGCGUGGGGAGCAAACAGG
Molecule: ribosomal RNA, 429 nt
Filed under: bacterium
Lineage: Bacteria
Description: partial 16S ribosomal RNA
Rfam family: Bacterial small subunit ribosomal RNA
Source: RNAcentral